GUGGGCGUGGUGUAACGGGUAGCACGUCCGCCUGACAUGCGGAAGGUCCCGGGUUCAAUCCCCGGGUAGUGCCUGCC
Non-coding RNA from Eriocheir sinensis (Chinese mitten crab), 77 nucleotides. NCBI's taxonomy places the organism in Eukaryota, Metazoa, Arthropoda, Malacostraca, Decapoda, Varunidae. The record is from the annotation of a RefSeq genome assembly.